GCUUGUGGCCAUACCACCCUGAACACGCCUGUUCAGGGUCGGGCCUGGUUAGUACUGGGACGGCAGACCGCCUGGGAAUACCAGGUGCCAUAAACG
RNAcentral lists this ribosomal RNA (96 nucleotides) under Salmo salar (Atlantic salmon). Lineage: Eukaryota; Metazoa; Chordata; Actinopteri; Salmoniformes; Salmonidae. The record is from RNAcentral.